RNAcentral lists this unclassified non-coding RNA (205 nucleotides) under Magnaporthiopsis poae. RNAcentral describes it as "partial internal transcribed spacer region". The stretch from base 1 to 46 matches the Rfam family "Eukaryotic small subunit ribosomal RNA", at positions 1786 to 1831 of the family's 1831-position model. The record is from RNAcentral. Lineage: Eukaryota; Fungi; Ascomycota; Sordariomycetes; Magnaporthales; Magnaporthaceae.
AAGUCGUAACAAGGUCUCCGUUGGUGAACCAGCGGAGGGAUCAUUACAGAGUUGCAAAACUCCAACCCCUGUGAACCUUACCUUUACUGUUGCUUCGGCGGCGCCCGUCGCCGCCGGAGGUUCAAAACCCUGAAUUUUAGUGUAUCUCUGAGUACGAAAAGAACCUGAAAAAUUAAAACUUUCAACAACGGAUCUCUUGGUUCUG